Molecule: ribosomal RNA, 274 nt
Filed under: uncultured bacterium
Lineage: Bacteria
Description: partial 16S ribosomal RNA
Rfam family: Bacterial small subunit ribosomal RNA
Source: RNAcentral
GACGGAGGGUGCUAGCGUUGUUCGGAAUCACUGGGCGUAAAGGGCGCGUAGGCGGCCUUGGCAGUCGGCUUGUGAAAGCCCGGGGCUCAACCCCGGAGGUGCGGCCGAAACACCAGGGCUGGAGGCCGGAAGAGGAGGGUGGAAUACCCAGUGUAGAGGUGAAAUUCGUAGAUAUUGGGUGGAACACCGGUGGCGAAAGCGGCUCUCUGGUCCGGACCUGACGCUGAGGCGCGAAAGCGUGGGGAGCAAACAGGAUUAGAAACCCCCGUAGUCC